Molecule: long non-coding RNA, 5823 nt
Organism: Leopardus geoffroyi (Geoffroy's cat)
Lineage: Eukaryota; Metazoa; Chordata; Mammalia; Carnivora; Felidae
Exons: 2
Source: RefSeq, a predicted model, not a curated record
CUUCUGGCCUGGGCCCCAGCCCGUCCCCCAGCAUUGGAAAACCAGAAGUUAGCUUCAGCCGCCUUCCGGAGCUGUUGUCGGCCCCUGGCUGAGCCUCAGUUUCCCCUUCAGGUUAACCUCUUGCACUUACAGGGAACCGCUCAAGUAGUAGGCAGUGACUGGUUUCUUUGUCCGUUCAACACGUGUUUCUUGACCGCUUACUGUGUACCAGGUAGCGUUCUAGGCUCCGUGCCUAUAUAAUUCUUGGCCUCGUGCAGCUGACAUUCUGAUGGAGGAGAUAGAACAAAUAAAGACAGAAACGUAAAGAAGGGGCUGAAGUAGAGGAUAACAGAGGCCUGCUUUAGGUGGGGGUGGUCACGGGAGGCUUCUUGGAGGAGGUGGCAUUUAAGUUGAGACCUAAAGGAAGAGGAGAGCUGGCUCUCAUCGGGUCGCUCCUUGGUCUUUCAGUCUCCACUGCCUCAACGCCUCUUGCUGCUAAAUCCCUCUACUAGCUAGCUUCCACCCCUCACCCCACGACCCCCCGCGGAAGGUGUCUGGUGAGGAGCGGAGUGGGGUAGCGUUCUAAGAAGAGGAAACACGCAAGCGAGGCACUUUGUUUGGCAAAGUGAGAGACCAGUAUGCCCAGUGUGAAACAAGCAAGGGAGGAAGUGGGGCUGGACGAGGCUGGGAGGUCGGCAGGGGUCCAACCACAUGGAGCUUUGCAGCUCCUGGCCAGAAGCUGGUAUGGUUCUGAGGACAUUGAAGGUUUCUAUGCAGAGGAAUCUGAUGUGGAUUAAAGGGGCAGCAGUGGACACAUCGGGAUGUAUUUUGGAGAUAGAAUCAGUAGGGCUUGCUGAUGGAGGGGAGAGGUGGGGGAGGGGAGGACAUGGGGGUCUCCGGGACAACUCCCAGGGGUCUCACCUGAAUACCAGUGAUGGUUGGGCCAUGUCCUCACAUGGGGAUGGCUAGCGGAGGGGCAGGUUUGAGACCGGCGGGAAUUCUGACUUCAGUCUGAGAUGUGGAGGUGCCUGGAGCCUGGGGGGCAGGGAGGUCUGGGCUCCAGAUGCAAAGGUGAGAGGGCGUUAAGAGCAGAAGCUAGUGUUUAAGUCCAGGGAAGCUGAUGAGCUCACCCAGGGACAGGGAGAGAGAAGAGACAAAGUCCCAGGAUCGAAGCCACAAAACCCCACUAUUUAUGGGCCGUGUAGAGAGCAGGACUGUCAGGCUGCCAGGGACUGACGAGGGGCUUGGGGGGUAGCCGAGGGGAGAAGAGCCAUGACUCAGAAAGGAGAAGGCUUUCCCGAGAGUGUUUGCCUAGCCCUGGGGAAGGUGAAUUCACUGAGACAUGCUCAUUGCAUCUGACGCCCUGGAGUUGGCCAGCGACUUUUCUAAGAGCAGCUUCCGUGGGGGGUGGAAGCCAGCCCAUGGAAGGCUGCAGCCGAGAGCGGAGGUGAGGAGACUGCAAGACCAGGGAGGCCCCAGUCUAUGAAGGCUGAUUUGUGGGGCUGCUCUCCUUCCUGUCUGAUUAGUAGAGAGAAGGCGGUUGACCUCUGGCACCAGGAUUGGAGCAGAAAUGCCUUGAAUUGCCCCCAUCUGGGACAUGGCCUACAAAGAAAGGCCUUAUCCCGUUUACAUUGUGUGAGAGCUUGCUCUAGAAGAGGUUCAGAACAGGUAGGGGUUUGGCUACUUGAUUGUUUCCAGUUCCUUCGGGAUCCAGGAAGGCAGAAAUUUCUCUCCGGGAAGAGCCUGGAAAAGGGGCAGCCUGUCUGAGGUCUGGGAGAGGAGAGAAGCACUUGACCCUGAGCAUGCAGUGUGGUCUUUGGACUGGAAAUUUCAGGAACUUGGGCGGUUUUUGCCAUCUGGUCAGGUGCCCACCAAUCAGUUCCCUGGGGCCGGCAGAGGGGGGCUUUGCUUUUUUCUGCUCUCCCUUAGCCCUGGGGCCAGAAGCUUGGACACGAUGACUUUUAGGCCUGGUAAAUCUAUAAACUCUGUGGUCCUCAAACUGUGCUCCCUUGACGAAGCAGUAUGGGGGCCUGCCCUCAGUUGCAAUAGAAAAGGGGAUCUUUUCUCAACUUGCAGGAAACAUUAAGAUAAGAGGUGUGUUUUCUCCUAUUUUUAAGUGUUCCACUAAAAUUUCAAGACUUUAUCAUGGACGUCUUGUAGCAUACGCAGAAGCAGAGAGAGUGAUGUGCCGAACCCCCAUGUACCUAUCAGCCAGCUUCAACCAUCAUCAAAAGCUUUUUUAGUAAAUCUUAAACCUUUGGCCUCUGCUUCCCCACCCCCAGCCAACAAAGGCAAUCAAUGAGCAUUUACAGAAACAUGUACAAAGUUGAAUGAAUUUAAAAUGUUUGAGGUAUGUGCCCCAAAAGUAUAUCCGUUGGGCUCCUGGCUGGCUCAGUUAAUAGUGUACCUGACUCUCGAUCUUGGGGUCUUGAGUGCAAGCUCUACAUUGGGCAUAGAGCUUAGUUAAAAAAAAAAAAAAAAAAAAAGUUAAAAAAAAAUGUAUUUCUUCUGCCAGGAGAACUGUUCCUCAUUCAUAUUCUAUAACUAAAGAUGUCAUAAAGCCUUCCGUGAUUUCCAGUACAGGUGUUAGAACUGCUGAUCUCCUCAUUUUCAAACUAGGGGGCUGGGGCCGCACUUAAGCGCUGGCUACAAGCUCAGGCCCCCUUCGGGCUUCCUACUGCCCGCUGAGGCCUGGCCACAGCACCACCCCUGCCCCCCUUGGGCUCGGCCAGGGAGCUAGGAGAGAGCUAGCUGCGGGCAAUAAGAAUGUUGGGGAAACAAAGGUAGCUCUCAAGAGUGCCAGGUUCCCUUCAGACUAAAGGGUAGUAACUGUCACCAGCAGGCCUGUCUUCCGAGUGGCUUCCCAGGGGUAAAGAAACCCUUCCUCCUCUUGCGGCCUCAUCCUCGUUCUCUGGCGUCCGACCCUUUCUUCCGACACUGCCUCGCUAGGCCUUCCUGACCUUGGCCCCGGGAUCCUUCCCCGUUUCCUCCAACGGCAUCUGCUUGGCAUUCUCCUCUGUCCCUUAACUAUGGCAUCCCCAGAUCUCUGCCCGCCCCCCCCCCCUCCUGCCAGUUUUGAUCCACUUGCCCCUUAUGUGCUCUCCUAGAUCCUACUGGGUGCCCUCCUAAAACCGCAGUUCCAGCUGUUUCCCAGGCAGUGUCACUUGAAGGCCCAGCCGGCUCUUCCUAACCUCAGAAGGUGACACCUGCUCUUUAAAACUUCCCUCAGGGCACCAUUUUUGAGCUACCAGAACCCUCCAUGUCUCAGCACUGUAUGAGAUAUUGGGGGUACCAGAAGCCUAGAAGAUUCCUAGUUACCCCAAGAUAGGACAAGGGUUUAGGGCACCUCGGGAAGAGCAUCACCCAAAGGGCUUAGAGCGGUUCUGCCUGGAUCAUCCAUGCAUCAGCAACAGGUGGCUUUUGGCUUCUAAAGAAUGGACUAGAAUUUAGGGAAGGGGAAAAAGGGCAUUGCAGAAGGAGGGAUACGGCAUAUGCAGCGGUUCUGAGGCACCAGGCAACGUGGCCUUUUCAGGAUCAGGAAUGGAAGUUGGUGAAGAAACACAGGAUGUAGGGCUUGAGGACUGUGUGUCUUGUUUUGGGGCUCCCACCAGACCCCAGUCUGCACCUGCUCCUUCGCCGGUCCGCAUGCCCCAACCUGUGGGCCUGCUUCCUUCAAAAUACUCUGUCAAUCCCAUUACUGACUGAGGUUUACUCUUUCCUUUUCCAUCUGAGAUUACCUACCUCCCCAGGCUUUCCUCUACCUCCAAUUUUUUUUUUUUUUUUAAAGAAGGCUUAGAAUAUCACAAAAUGAAAGAAAUUUAAAAUAAGCGGGUGAGGAAAAUGAGACAUGUGCUCCUUCCCUGAGACUGAGGUGGGAAUUCUGGCUGAAGGUGGGAAGCUGUCUGUCAUUUUCUGUCUGUCCUAUCACAUAGUCACUUCCUUACUAAUCCUUUCAAGGGUUAAGCUCCGCUUGAAUCCUGACUGGGCCCUGCUAUACAACCUACAAUGGCUCCCCAUUGUCUCCCUCAUCUGUGCUAGAAAUGCCCUGGCUGUUUCUCAACGCAUCAUCUCUCACUGGGACCUCACAAUCACCCCACCCCGUUUCACUGCCACUCUCUAAGAGGAAGGCCCUCUAAGAAGGACCAGUCCCCCUUUAGAUUUUGCUGUGCCCCUUCUUUCUCCCCUUUGUCCCCGCCGUGCUUUCCUUUAUAUGCUCUGCAGGACUGAGUCCACAAGGCUUUCUAGGAUUUCUCCAGUUCACACUGACCUCCUCCCUUCUCUGCACCCCAUUGCCCUUACUGCUAAUGUUUUUGGAUGAAGCACUCAGUUAUAUUUUGUAGGGUACUUUUCACUAUUUCUCGUGUGUUAAUCCUGUCUUCCCCCAUCAUGCCCAGCCUGAUAUUGGAUAAGAAUAGGCUCAAUAUAUACCUGCUGGUUGGCCAAGCAGUUGAGACAUUGGUGAAUGUGGGACACCUCAGGGAGCUCAGGCCCUUGGAUUUCUGCCUUGAGGCCCCAAGCCCUUGGUUUCCAUAUGGUUUCUCGGAGGUGCUGACAGGUGUACCUGGAGAAGAGCAUGGGGCAGGAGGACCCGUGUGAUUAGGCUCCCACGGGUAAGGUGGUGCCCGAUUCUUCUGCACUCCGUGCUCCCGCUAUUUCUGCCGGGCCUCCGCUGUGCUGGAGCCGAUGAGAACCUUCCCUGCCCUGGCGGAGCUGGCCCAGGCCCUGGCAGCAGGGAGGGCAGAGGUGAGGCAUUCCUCCUCCCAGAGGAGGGCAAGUCCUAGCUCCUCUUUCUAAUGAUUAACAGAACGCAGUGACCCAGGGGAGUAUGGUGGGUUUAGGAAGGUCUUCCCACAUGUGUCACUUCAUCGGAUGUCACCACCGUGAGGCAGAAGAGGUGCAGAGGGCUGCUCAAGCAGCGGGGACGGUCGUCUGGCCAGAGGGGCCGAGGACUCCCACAGUUCCAGUUUGUGUGGUUUCAGGACUCCCUUGUAGCUACGUGAUGAAGAGUAAUCUCUUCACCCCGGCCCGAUUCUAAAUUAUGUCAAGGCAAGGACACCAUGUCCUGCUGAUCCAGGAUCUGGUCUCUUUCCUGGCUCCCAUCCUGAAGGGAGGGACUCAUGCACCUUUACACUUAUUAGAUGCUUAAUACAUAUUCAAUAGUGAUGAUAACAAAUAAUCUGUGGUUCACAUAGAGACCUCCCCUCUCCCGCCUAUAUCGGGCAGUUCCCCAUCCCCUCCCCCUGGGCCCCCCAACAGGUGGCAAAGCUUUUAUGUUCCUGAAGGGAAGGGUGCCUUUGGAGGGGAGUUCGAAUGCCACCUGGCCACUUACGGGGAUGUGGGACCUUAGGCGUCACUUUUAACCUCACCAGGCUGAGAGCCCUUGGUUGUAGCUGGCCUUGGAUGUGCCCCGAGCUCCCGGGUGUAUCUCGUAUGCACGAGAGCAGCUCUUGCCCGGUUUGCUUUCCGCCUCUCCCCAACCCGAGCUGGGUAGAUGCAGGCACUCUGGGCACCUCUGUCCCCUGGGGUGGCACUCAGGGGAGACUGGGGAAGGGUUUGCUGAAUGAGUCAAUAAUUCUAAUCUCAGAACUGGUGUGGGUUAAUAAAAUAAUCCUUAACAUUUAAAGCUCCUAGGGCAGGGCUAGCGUAUAACAGGAGCUUGAUACUUUUCUAAAUGAUUUUAAAUGACAUAAGUAUUACACAAAUGCAUUCUUGUCGUGAAAAACUCAUCCCUCCCCCGUGAUUCUAAUUCCUCCAGCAGAGGUGCCUGGUGUUGUGAGUUUGGUGUAUAUACGACAUGAUUUUUUCUAUCCAUCUCUGUGUGUAUAAAUAUAUAAUUUUACUUCA